GACGAACGCUGGCGGCGUGCCUAAUACAUGCAAGUCGAGCGGACUUAAAAAGCUUGCUUUUUAAGUUAGCGGCGGACGGGUGAGUAACACGUGGGCAACCUGCCUGUAAGACUGGGAUAACUUCGGGAAACCGGAGCUAAUACCGGAUAAUCCUUUUCUACUCAUGUAGAAAAGCUGAAAGACGGUUUACGCUGUCACUUACAGAUGGGCCCGCGGCGCAUUAGCUAGUUGGUGAGGUAACGGCUCACCAAGGCGACGAUGCGUAGCCGACCUGAGAGGGUGAUCGGCCACACUAGGACUGAGACACGGCCCAGACUCCUACGGGAGGCAGCAGUAGGGAAUCUUCCGCAAUUGACGAAAGUCUGACGGAGCAACGCCGCGUGAGUGAUGAAGGUUUUCGGAUCGUAAAACUCUGUUGUUAGGGAAGAACAAGUACGAGAGUAACUGCUCGUACCUUGACGGUACCUAACCAGAAAGCCACGGCUAACUACGUG
This 494-nucleotide ribosomal RNA is filed under the name uncultured bacterium. Its description in RNAcentral is "partial 16S ribosomal RNA". It matches the Rfam family "Bacterial small subunit ribosomal RNA", at positions 28 to 507 of the family's 1533-position model. The record is from RNAcentral.